GUACGUAGGGGGCAAGCGUUAUCCGGAUUUACUGGGUGUAAAGGGAGCGCAGGCGGUCUGGCAAGUCUGAUGUGAAAUACCGGGGCUUAACUCCGGAACUGCAUUGGAAACUGUCAGACUAGAGUGCCGGAGAGGUAAGUGGAAUUCCUAGUGUAGCGGUGAAAUGCGUAGAUAUUAGGAGGAACACCAGUGGCGAAGGCGGCUUACUGGACGGUAACUGACGCUGAGGCUCGAAAGCGUGGGGAGC
RNAcentral lists this ribosomal RNA (247 nucleotides) under uncultured bacterium. Its description in RNAcentral is "partial 16S ribosomal RNA". It matches the Rfam family "Bacterial small subunit ribosomal RNA", at positions 523 to 769 of the family's 1533-position model. The record is from RNAcentral.